GGAGAGGUGGCCGAGUGGCUUAAGGCGCACGCUUGGAAAGCGUGUAUAUGGAAACAUAUCGGGGGUUCGAAUCCCUUUCUCUCCGCGA
RNAcentral lists this transfer RNA (88 nucleotides) under Flavobacteriales bacterium. Its description in RNAcentral is "tRNA-Ser". It matches the Rfam family "tRNA". From Rfam's summary of the family: Transfer RNA (tRNA) molecules are approximately 80 nucleotides in length. Their secondary structure includes four short double-helical elements and three loops (D, anti-codon, and T loops). Further hydrogen bonds mediate the characteristic L-shaped molecular structure. tRNAs have two regions of fundamental functional importance: the anti-codon, which is responsible for specific mRNA codon recognition, and the 3' end, to which the tRNAs corresponding amino acid is attached (by aminoacyl-tRNA synthetases). tRNAs cope with the degeneracy of the genetic code in two manners: having more than one tRNA (with a specific anti-codon) for a particular amino acid; and 'wobble' base-pairing, i.e. permitting non-standard base-pairing at the 3rd anti-codon position. Lineage: Bacteria; Pseudomonadati; Bacteroidota; Flavobacteriia; Flavobacteriales. The record is from RNAcentral.